Molecule: ribosomal RNA, 449 nt
Filed under: Dotilla wichmanni
Lineage: Eukaryota; Metazoa; Arthropoda; Malacostraca; Decapoda; Dotillidae
Description: partial 12S small subunit ribosomal RNA
Source: RNAcentral
AAAGGUGAAAUUAGAGUGUUGUUGUUAUAUGAUAGAUUUAUAUUGAAGCUAAAAAAUUUUGAAUAUAAACUAGGAUUAGAUACCCUAUUAUUUCAAAAGGAGUAAUAAAAAAAUUAAUGAUUAAUAGUUAGAUACUUGAAAAUUAAAAGAUUUGGCGGUGAUUUAAUCUUAUUAGAGGAACUUGUUUUAUAAUCGAUAAUCCACGAAUAAUCUUACUUGAGUUUGUAUACCGUCAUUAUCAGGUAAUUCUGUUGAAAAAGAUAAAUUUCUAAAAUUAAUUGGUUGUUAAAAUUAGAUCAAGGUGCAGCUUAUAAACAAGUAAAAAUGAGUUACAAUAAAUUAUUUUAACUACGGAUUAGUUGCUAUGAAGGAGGAUUUAAUUGUAAUGUAAGUUUAAUAAGCCUACGAGAAAUAAGCUCUAAAUCAUGUACAUAUCGCCCGUCGCUUCC